Molecule: non-coding RNA, 105 nt
Organism: Acanthosepion pharaonis
Lineage: Eukaryota; Metazoa; Mollusca; Cephalopoda; Sepiida; Sepiidae
Source: the annotation of a GenBank genome assembly
UUCGGCCAGAUCACCUUGAAACACUGGUCCUCGUACGAUCACCGAAGUUAAGAAAGGUCGAGUGUGGUCAGUACCUAGAUGGGUGACCUUUUACACUAAGUGCUG